RNAcentral lists this unclassified non-coding RNA (240 nucleotides) under soil metagenome. RNAcentral describes it as "partial contains 5.8S ribosomal RNA, internal transcribed spacer 2, and large subunit ribosomal RNA". The record is from RNAcentral.
AACCAUAGAAACCUGCGGAGUACCUGCGGAAGGAUCAUUACCACGCGAUCCAAAACGCUCACUCAAUUUGUUUUAUGAAGUUGAGAGCCGGGGCAACCCGACUCUACCAGUGCUUUGCUUCACCGCAUUGCACUCACCUUUAUACAAACUAAACCCAUCGGAAACAACACCGUUUCGGCAAGCCAUUUGUUUGUGUCAUUCAUUUGAGCGAACAAAGUUAUAUCACAAUGCUAUACAACU